GUUAUCUGAAGUUGGAGUUCUUCAUGCUCUGUGGAAACUGUAGUAUAUAGAACUCCAGCAUUUUCCUGACAAACAUCAAAGCUACUUUGGAUCUGGGGUUGACUUCACGUCCCUCAAAGAGCAUUUCAAAUGGCAAUCUUCAGACUGCAAAGAAAACUUGGGAUCGUUGCUGUUAGAGGAGCUAGACAUGAAUGUGGACAAAUCAAGAUUCCCUUUCUCCCUCACCAGGCCUCCUAUACAAGUCUCUCUACCCAAUUAUUCUGCACCAGGACUGCUCAGCCACUGUCCGAGAUGAUCAAUCCUGAACCUAACACCAUAAAAUAUUCAAUCGCUCCAUACCUUGGCCUGCUCUCUGGGCAUUCCCAAAAGCUAUUAGGCAGGGCCGAGCAAGACACAGUGGGAAGGAGGACUACUCAGUUUCACAUGUUAAACCUCCAGUGAGAUGAAGAGGGUUCUGCACUAAGGUCCUGUGCCUUACUCCAAGAAGUGUUUCUCACCAGCGAUUAACAGGAUGCAACACACAAAAAGGGCUAGUGAAUCUGUUUGUUACAGUCUACUUACUAAGGCUAUGGCUACAAUACUCCAGUGCUGAAGUCAGUGAAAAGGCAUCAUCCAAACACAAUCCAAGGAAAAUGCAAGCUGAUACAGCACAAAGAUGCUUUGUUUAAGAAUGGCAGAAAUUUCCAGCAACUAUCUGGGAGAAAAAAAAUGCAGGAUGGGAGGGAAUGUAAUCAAAUAACAAAACAAACCCAAACUAAAAGAGAAUCUUUAUAAACCAGCACAAGGACACUUUGUUUUUAAGUGCACACAAUGAAUUUUAAAGAUCUUUGUUCAGAAGGGAAAUAAAGUAUUAUGAAGGACUGACACAUUUGAUGGAUGGAUGGUUUCUGAAAAACCACAUUAUCAAUUACUUUUUCCUUGUUUGGCUCCAGUCCAGUAAUUUUUAUUUGAACAAGCCACAUGCUAGCAUGGUUUUGAUUGCAGGAAGUGACUGGUUGUUGUUAAAGGAUACUAUUUCACUGAUGAGCUUAUCUCUUCCUUCCCCCUCCCCUUUCUGAUGGGACUCCGAUAUGAAAGGCACAGCUUCAGUUGUUAUAAACAGAGUCAGGGAUUGUUUGAUAGACCCACCCGUGUUUUGCUUUCAGCCUUCUGUGGUACAAUCCAGACAAUGUAUUCAGCAGGGCUUCAGAAAAAAACAGUUGAAUUCGGCUUAUUUCUGUUCUCAACUCUGACAUGAAAUUUUGAUAUCUCUGAUGUUUGUCUCUCAUAAAUCUAAGUUUGUUAGCAAAAAAAGGUUAUGAAUGUUAUAUUCUUUUUUACAUUAGACCACUAUCUCAAGUGAGUCCUACUGAGGAAAAAGAAUCUUUAUAGAACAGUGAAGCUAAAAUGUAUCACAGAUCUUCUCAAACAAUACAGUGCCUUGUUCUAGCUUUGCUUGUUUGCUAAUCUUAUCAAAACAAGUAUAUCAGAGUAUUAUUAGUGUAAAUAUAAGAAACACAGCUAAUUAAGCUAUAUUAUUAAGUGCUCUCAGUUUUCCCUUGCAAUUAAAGAAAGAUUUGGGGGCAGUCAUCAGUGGAUAGGAAAUUAUCUAUGAAAUCAGUUGCUGACACACACUGUGUGUGUUUGUGUGUGUGUGUGUGUGUGUGUGUGUCUGCUAGUCAAGAUAACUUCCUUUAUGACUGAAUUUUUUUUGUGUGUUACCAUGCCUGAAACUUAAACUAUUUCUAAGUUCCCAGGGUAUCAUGGUAACUAUAGGCUUUGGAUAGUUACUUGUUUCCUAGUUCUAUAUUUUAAACAUUGAUUUUAGUGAUUAUUUCUCUGCUGAGAAUUAAAAGUAAAAAGGUGGUCUUAAACAAUGGGCCAUUUGAUUAUUCAUCAGAACAUGAAAACAAUUCUAAAUGAAUUAGAAUUUAACCUUGUUCAAUGGAAGAAAUAUAAAUUUAGCAACUAUUUUGCUGAUUU
Macaca mulatta (Rhesus monkey) is the source of this 1962-nucleotide long non-coding RNA. The record is from Ensembl. NCBI's taxonomy places the organism in Eukaryota, Metazoa, Chordata, Mammalia, Primates, Cercopithecidae.